UGGGCUGACACUCAGCUGUUGUGUGUUG
Molecule: non-coding RNA, 28 nt
Filed under: Mus musculus (house mouse)
Lineage: Eukaryota; Metazoa; Chordata; Mammalia; Rodentia; Muridae
Source: RNAcentral